ACCCUGGUAGUCCACGCCCUAAACGAUGUCUACUAGUUGUCGGGUCUUAAUUGACUUGGUAACGCAGCUAACGCGUGAAGUAGACCGCCUGGGGAGUACGGUCGCAAGAUUAAAACUCAAAGGAAUUGACGGGGACCCGCACAAGCGGUGGAUGAUGUGGAUUAAUUCGAUGCAACGCGAAAAACCUUACCUACCCUUGACAUGGUCAGAAUCCCUGAGAGAUCAGGGAGUGCUCGCAAGAGAACUGAUACACAGGUGCUGCAUGGCUGUCGUCAGCUCGUGUCGUGAGAUGUUGGGUUAAGUCCCGCAACGAGCGCAACCCUUGUCAUUAAUUGCCAUCAUUUAGUUGGGCACUUUAAUGAGACUGCCGGUGACAAACCGGAGGAAGGUGGGGAUGACGUCAAGUCCUCAUGGCCCUUAUGGGUAGGGCUUCACACGUCAUACAAUGGUACAUACAGAGGGUCGCCAAGCCGCGAGGUGGAGCUAAUCCCAGAAAGUGUAUCGUAGUCCGGAUUGGAGUCUGCAACUCGACUCCAUGAAGUUGGAAUCGCUAGUAAUCGCGGAUCAGCAUGUCGCGGUGAAUACGUUCCCGGGUCUUGUACACACCGCCCGUCACACCAUGGGAGCGGGUUUCACCAGAAGUAGGUAGCUUAACCGCAAGGGGGGCGCUUACCACGGUGGGAUUCGUGACUGGGGUGAAGUCGUAACAAGGUAACCGUAA
Molecule: ribosomal RNA, 721 nt
Filed under: uncultured Oxalobacteraceae bacterium
Lineage: Bacteria; Pseudomonadati; Pseudomonadota; Betaproteobacteria; Burkholderiales; Oxalobacteraceae
Description: bacterial SSU rRNA
Rfam family: Bacterial small subunit ribosomal RNA
Source: RNAcentral